Long non-coding RNA from Lolium perenne, 1844 nucleotides. RefSeq lists it as uncharacterized. The record is from RefSeq and is a predicted model, not a curated record. Lineage: Eukaryota; Viridiplantae; Streptophyta; Magnoliopsida; Poales; Poaceae.
GCCGCACACCUUACUCACUCCACCUCGCUCAAGCUCCCUCCCUCUCUCAUCUUCCUCACUCCACCGCACACACCUAGCACACUCCCCUGCCUCCCGCCCUCUGCUUCGCUCCACCUCGCCAGUGCGGUCCAAGAAACAGCCCGACGAGGCUCCUCGGCAGUCCCCGACGGCCUCCAGAGACCCCACAGGCUCCUCGCCGCCAGCCCGCCACUCAAUCGGCUCCACGGCGAGGAGCAGGAGCACCUCCUCGGGGACCCCUAGGAAGGCCCGAUUGGAGCAGCGCGCAGGGUACCUCACAUGAGAGCUUUUGCCAAUUUGCCUUGAUGUUGCUCAAGAUGCACGACAGGGACGUACUUCUACCACAGGCACUUCAGAAUGCAGAGGUCUAUUGUGGAUGUGGCAGACGGGGAUGAUGUACCACGAGAACAUCUACAUCCAGAUGGUUGGCCUCUCCUCCGACCCCAUGAGAUGGAUCGGUGAGACACAGGGAGAUGCAAGAGUUGCAACAAUUGUAUAAGAUGAACAUAAAGUUUUAGCAAUUCCAUGAAAGGUAUAUCUUUAAUACUCAGGCAUCUACUUUCGAACCAAUUUAGAGGGGAGACAACCAUCAUGCCAAACCAAUUUAGAGGGGCGAUCAACUUAUCUCUAUAACCCAUGUUACUCUCUAGAUGCAACAGGAAACAUUGAUUAGGCUAGAGGCAUUAUGACCUGACACACGCGGCCUCCUAGCUUUGUUAACAGAUCGAGGAAAGAUAAUACCGGUACAUCUUUUCUAGUACAUCUUUUCUAUCUACAUGAUAACUCCAGUCACGUGAGAAAUACUAUGAAGUAAAUAGAUUGCAUGUUAUGCUAUGAAGUAAAUAGAUAUCAAAGCCUGAAACCUCAAAUAUCCUAUCAGAUUGGUAUUAGUGAACUAUUAAAACAUGUUGACCUGACACACCAGAUUACCGCAGAUUCUCACAUGAUGGGGAAGUUCUUCCAAAAAAUAGGGACACAACCAAUUUACAAAGUGCACACAGCUUAGAGGUGUGAUUACGUACCUCCACUCUGAUCCCAACAGAGGUUGUAAACUCUCCCUGAUGAUUCGCAUGAUAAUACCAGCCAAGGUAUGAAACAACAAGUCUCCUCACAAAUCUUCAUAUACAACUUAGAGGUGUGGUUACGUACCUUCCCUGAUGAUCCGCAUAUACUCUCGAGGAGAUCUCUCGCAUAACAAUGCUUGAGGGUACCUUUUAUAUGCAUGCACCAGAAAUCAUCCAGCCAUGCUUGAGGGUACCAAUCUGAAGGGAUUAUAUGAUUUCAGGCAAGUACCGAUAUGGUUGAUCAGGAAAUGAUGAAGUUUCCUUUGUUCUGUGUAGGUGCGAGAUCAGGAAAUGAUGGACGGUCGGAGGCUUCCUUUCCUUGUUUCCUGAUGGUGUGGUGAUGAAAAUCUGUGGAAAUGAUGGAGUUUGCUUUCAUGUUGCCCUCAAAUUAUGGUGCGGUAGAGAUGGUGAAAUAAUGGUGCGGUGAUUUUGCUGUGGAGUUUCUUUUCCUGCUGCCCUCAAAUUAUGGUGCCGUAUAGAUGCUAAAUUGUUUGAGGCUUCCUUUCCUGAUGGUAUAGAUGCUAAAUUGUUUUAGACUUCCUUUCCUGAUGGUGUGGUGAUGAAAAUCUGUGGAAAUGAUAGUUUCCUUUCCUGUUGCCCUCAAAUUAUGGUGCGGUGAUUUUACUGUGGAGUUUCUUUUCAUGUUGCCUGAAAAGGUGUAGUUUCCUUUUGUAGAGAUGCUAAAUUGUUUGAGGCUUCCUUUUGUGUUGCCCUGAAACAGUGGAGUUUCCUUUGCUGUGGAAUGAUGGCGUGGUUCAAAUA